CUGGCUUACCUCCUCAGUUAUGCGUCAUGACUUGUAUCGUCUUGAGCGUAUUGUGGGUUUCCUGUGUUGCAUACCUAACUAAUGGAAUCGUUUUGGUUGAUCGAAGUCCCUUUUCAUCAUGUUUUGCUUUUGUGAUGCAUGAUGAACCUUGAAGCGGUCUCUAUGUUCCACCAUGUUGAUGCUACUGUGUUUAUGUUGUGGCCCAUUGAGUGUUGCUUGGUUUCAUGGAUACAGAACAUGAUUUGGGCAUAGUGUCACUCGUGACUCUUGUUUUGUCCUUUAUCGGUGUUCUUUAUAACGACGGUUCAUGCGCGCCUAGGCUCGUACCUGCGCGAUGUUCUUUGUCGAAGAGGAAUGCUACCUGGUUGAUCCUGCCAGUAGUCAUAUGCUUGUCUCAAAGAUUAAGCCAUGCA
This 413-nucleotide unclassified non-coding RNA is filed under the name Senecio vestitus. Its description in RNAcentral is "partial contains external transcribed spacer and 18S ribosomal RNA". The stretch from base 359 to 413 matches the Rfam family "Eukaryotic small subunit ribosomal RNA", at positions 1 to 55 of the family's 1831-position model. The record is from RNAcentral. Lineage: Eukaryota; Viridiplantae; Streptophyta; Magnoliopsida; Asterales; Asteraceae.